Molecule: non-coding RNA, 6352 nt
Organism: Odocoileus virginianus texanus
Lineage: Eukaryota; Metazoa; Chordata; Mammalia; Artiodactyla; Cervidae
Source: RefSeq, a predicted model, not a curated record
GGGAUCUUCCCCACCCAGGGAUUGGGUUCUUUACCACUAGUGCCACCUGGGAAGCCCACAGAAUACACAUAUACUCUUUAUCCAGAUUCAAUAUAUUUUAACGUUUUGCUUUAUCAUUUAUGUUCUCUCUCCUUCUUUCUCUUUUUCCUGAACCUUUUUAGGUCAGUUACCAACACGGUGGCCCUUUCUCUCUGGAUACUUCAUGUGUGGAUUCCUAAGAAUAAGGAUACAGUUUUAUAAUUUCUGCAGUAUGUUGAACUUUAAUAUGACACUUUAUCUAAUCUGCUGAUUUUAUUGCAGAUUUGUUGAUUAACUUAAUAGCAUCCUUUACAGCAUUUUCCCCCAGUCAGGAUCCAACAUGGCAUUUGCUGUGUCUCUUUAGUCUCUUUUCAUCCAGAACAGUUCCUCAGUUUUUCUUUGUCUUUCAUGACAUUGACAUGUUCAAAGAAGACAGCAUCCUUUUCACCUUAAAAAAAAAAAAAAUGGAAUGUUCUUCCCUUUGGAGUGGUCUGCUGUUCGGUCAUGUUUAGACUCCAAGUUAGACAUUCCUGGCUAGCAUACACAGGAGUGAUGUUGUGUCUUUUUCAGUAUGUUACAUCCAGAGGCACCAAAUGUCCUGUCACUUUAUGUGAUGUUAUGUUUGAUCACUUGGCCAAGGUGUCCCAUUUCUUCACUGUGUGUUUACUAAUUUUUCCUCACUACUAAUAAGCAGUCUGUGGGGAGACAAGACCAUAUGCAUGUCUUACUCCGCAUCUACAUUUUGCCCCAAGACUUAGCAAUCAUCCACACUGGGUUUGCAGGUAUUUCUGGAUCCCACCCAAGGGAUGGGAGGUUGAGCUGUCCGGGACCAGGUGACCUAUUUAUAAGGGCCUCGCCCACGUGGGAGGGCCUGGCUGUGCCACCCAGCCCUGUUGAGUAACCGCAUCUCCAUGAUAAUUUCCCUCUUCCUACCCCCAACAGAAACAGAAGCUCAUUUGUCAUUCACUCAACUGACAAAUAAGAAUGUUCUUGCGAAAGCUUCACAGCUUUAUUUGGGCACGGUAGGGUAUAAAAAGAAAGCUCAUUCCUUCGAUGCCUUUAAGAAGCCUACCAUUGAGUUGGGGAGACAAGACUUGGUCACUGAAAGGUAAAGGACAUGUAAGUCUUUAGUACUAUGACCCCACAGGACAACUCAACAAGAGUUAUCCUGUGACCCUGGAGAAUUAGAGGCUCUUAGGAAUUUGGGGGGAGAGGGAUCAAAGUGGUUUAGGUAAGAUUGAUGCAGGGACCUUUCGUUAACAAGGGUCAUCUCUGAGUGGGCAUUGAAGGACAGGUAAAUCUGGAUAAACAGAAAUAAGGGCACUCCAGAAGGGGAAUGGUGUGCACAAAGGCCCAGAGAUGAGAGUAUGGAUGAAGUGACUGGGGGAUGGCGAGUUAUGUACCAGCCUGCAUGGGGCCAAGGGUUGCUGUAGGUGGCAGGAUCUAUCCCUUACUGAACACCUACCUCAUACCAGGCAUUAAAAAAAAAAAAAACUUUUCUGAUUCUACAAGUGAUACAUGUGUGGUGUAAGACGUUUAGAAAAAUAGAGCUAUACAAAGAAAAAUUUUAAUGAAGUCACUCUGUUCUUUCAUCCAGAGAUAACUAGUUAACCAUGGUGUGGUUCCUUCAUUUCUGAGAUCUUUGACAUUCUUCUGGCAGUGGCUCAUUUGGGUUCAUGGAUUCAGGAGCCCUUCUUGUCUCUCAGAGGAUAUUAAUCAUACUUUGACAAACGUUUCAUUCUGUUGACUUUACUAAUUUUGUUUUCUAGCUAGAACUUGUGUUCUCUAAUUUGGUGCUUCUUUGGCUGUCUUGGUUUUUGUCAAAUGUUUGGUGAGUCUUGGUUGUGUUUCUCUCUCUGUAUUUUGAGGUUUUUUGGUCACCUCUGCAUGAAUCCCGAUUACAUGCUCUCAAGCCAGCCACCCCUGUUUGGGGGCAGGAGGGUAGGAUGCGGCCUGCUGGGGAUGCAGGAGCUGUCUAGGUGUCCCUUUGCCUCAAUGCCCUAAUGUCCCUGGUGGAGGGACACCUGGGUGGAGACAUGGGCCAGGGGCUGCUUGCCUGGCUGCUCCAGAUCCCAUGACCAACCACUCAGGGCCUCUCCUGGACCCCUAAUCUGCUUGCUCCAAACUUGGAGUCCCCAGAGCCAUUCCCCCAAAUGUAGAAUCCUUAGCCGCACUGCUGGGGUUCAAAUCCUAGCACUGGCACUUACUAGCACUAUGACCUUGGGAAAGCUAUGUAACUCUGGGUCUUAUUUGUGUGAGGAAAAUAGUAGUCUCUGUCUCAAAGGAUUUUUGUGAGGGUUCAAUGAGAUGUAUGCAUACAGCAUAUAUAUGUGCUGUAUGAAUGUCAGUUAUUAUUAUUUUUCAUGGUUAUAUUUGUGGGGGUUGUGGUUUCUCUAUCAGUUUAUUCUCAUUUGCUUCCAUCUUCAAGGAUAGAAUUCCCUCCUGUUCUUUGCUGUAAUGGAUUUAUUCUUCUUAGAAAAUGUCUUUUGUGUCACUUUCAAGGGCCUUGGGGGAGGUACACAGUUGCCCCUGGUCUGCCAUCUUGAUACAGUGAUACAUUUCCUUCAAAUCUUCUUCAGUGAGCUGUAUGAGUCUUAUUAUUAUCUGUAAUACGUACACGAAGGCAUCCAUUGCCGUCUCUCUCCGCUCACCCAGGAGCCUGGCCGAGGGCAAGACUUGCCACCUGGUCUGGGAUCCUGGAUGCUGACUCUGUCUUGUGCAGGCCUGGGAGGGGAUGAGUCCUCUUCUGGGCCUUCCUCAGGCUGGUUUGAGGCUGUCCUAAUGAAUGUAAUGGGUCCUCUGCUUCCUUUGUCAAAAGGAAUGUUAAUUAUUUUCAGCAGUCUAAUUAUGUGGCUAAUGAGAGCCUGGCUGAGAUAACAUUCCCUUUAAUUACUCUUGCCUAAGUGCUGUUUGGAGCCAUAUCUGAAUGUGUUGCAAAGCUUGGUACUUUCACAGUGGAUGGAGCUGUUUGGGAGAAGCUGGUCCACAGGGACCAGGGUUGCAGGACUUAGGGCCCACAGUGGAAGCACCUGGCUGCAGUCAGUGCCCAGCCUCGGGUAUGCUGGCCUGUCCUCUGGGCUGUUACCUAAAGGGAUGAUCAGAUCAGGUCAUGUACGGAGUAGACAGCAACCAUCACAGCUCCUCCUGAACAACUCACUCAAUCUCCCCCCCUAGGGCACCUGGCCUUCAGGAUCCUCUUGGCCAAGCCUCUCACUCUUGGGGGACCUGCCCCCUGCCCUUUCUCCCAUUCAGUACUUGGAUUUUGAGUUCCUACUGUAUGUCAAGUUUUAUCCAGGACAUGAGAAUGCAAAGAUAAGGAACCCAUGGUCCAGAUGGCUUUCCAAAACCAAAAAUUUGAUCACACCCUUCUCCUCUUUGCCCAGGAGCAAUGUCACAUGUCUGUGUUCUGACCCCUACCCCCUUCCAGGGUUUAUCUUCUGUACCAUGACGUUCCUUUGGUUCUGAUGUGUUCUGAGGUGUCUUUCAGUAACUGGGCCUUCGUGGGCAGAUCCAUGGAAGGCAUCUCUCCCAAGCUCUUGGGUGGGCCUGAGUAGGCUGGAAGGGGCACGUCAUAUGAGAUUGUUUGCUGUAAGAAUGAAGGGGCAGCUGUAGGUGGGCUGUUGCCAUAGGAGAAUUAAGUGCUCUGACUCCUGUCCACACAUCCGCAUCUCUCAUGAGUGAUGGGAGGGGAAGUGCUGAUGAAAACCUCGGUCCUCCCAUUUUCCAGCUGUCAUUAAGCCUCUGAGCCUCCCUUGCCUCCUGAGUCAAUCCACGUCAUGGGUUCAUGGAGGGGACCCAUGAGACGACCUGUGUGGCACCUUCCCAGCAUGUAGAGGGUGCUCAAUAAAUGGUUUGGAGUUAAGUUUUUUUUUGUUUUUUAAACAUUCCAAGCAGCAGCCCCUACGCUGAGUUACAGCCAAACAUGCAGGGACGGGUCUCAUUCACCAAUGGCCAGGGCCCUCUCCUGGCCUCUUGGAUAAAAGUCACUCUUCAGACAGUAGAGAGUGACUCUCUUGGAACAAGGGUUCAUUCUCCCCCAUCUCACAACGGCAGCCGUGAUUGACUAGGCCUGAGCUUGUGGGAGAGAAGGAGAGCAGGGUGUCUGUGCAGAACACAAGGAUUUCCAAGAACAAGGAAGUGAAGCUCAGCCUUAGGUCUGUAUGUUUGCCAGCCUUUUGGUCACCCUUGAUAAUUCCGAGAGCAAUGUCCAGUGGAACUUUCUGUGAUGAUGGAAACGUUCUACCUCUGCACUGUCCAAUAUGGUGGACACUUGCCACAUGUAGCUCUGCGCACUUGAAAUGUGGCUCCAGUGACUAAGGAACUGGAUUUUUAAAUUCUAUUCAUUUUUAGUUAAUUAAAGUUAAAUUUUAAAUAGCUAUAUGUAGCUAUCAGACUGGUUAGUGCAGUUGUGCAGUUUUCAGAAAAUUCAUCUCUGAGUACUUCAUGUUCUUGGCUUGGGCCGCAUCUCUAGGCUACUAGUUUUCACAUGUCCUGUCUGCAGAAGAUAGUUGAGUGUGCUGUUGGCAAAGGCCAGGUGAGUCAAGGGGCAAUGACAAAAAUCAGUGACCAGAAGGGCAAUUUGGAACCUCCAGAGCUAGAGCCAUCCUGCUGAGAUUCACUGACUGUGCUGGGCAUCUGACCUUCUUAUUCCACAGUUCUGCCCCCUUACAGUCUGCAGGGGGCAAAGCCGCUGGUUUUCACAGCAGCAGAGAUGGGUAGGUGGUGCUCAGGUAUGUGAUUCUCAUGCCAGCUAGGUAUGUUCCAGAUGAUGGAAAAACUACCUGUGCUGGUCAGAAUUUUCUUGAUCACAAGUGACAGAAAAUCUAACAGACUAGCUGGAGAAAAAAGGAAUAUCUACUUUCUCGUUAAGGUGAAACACCCGGACUAGAGAGGAUUUGGUAAAGUUACUUAAAUUCUCUUGAUCAGAAGCAGGUGGAAAUUCUAGGCCAUCAGUCAAAGGAUUUUGUCUUCCCUUCAUUGUUCAAUACAAUUGCCAACAACAACUGAAGGUUUCACAAUUUCCAGCCCCUGACCACAGAAAGAGUUUUCAGUGGGCUGGCUGUAUUUACUUGGCUCCUGAGCACUUUGCCCUGACCUAGUAUACCCUGUAGGGAUCACCAGAGGACUCUGGGGACAGGGAAUGUCAGAACCCUAAUUACACAAAGCUUGUUUAGCUUGUUUCUGCCUCAGGAUCUUUGCACUUCUGUUCCCUCUGCCUGGAAUGCUUUUCCCGACACUCUUUGCAAAGCUUCUCUGCAUCUUUCUGACCUAUGCCCGAUGCUAGCUCCUUAGAGAAGUUUAAGACCUGUCCUCCAGCAUCUAGUUUCUUUCUGUCCCCUACCAGGCCUUUCCCCUUCUUCGUGGCCUGAUAUCAGACAUUACAGCAUGUGCGGGCUGGCUUCGUUAUUGUCUGUCUCCCCACAGAGCUGCGAGCAUCAAGGGGGCAGGAACCUCGCCUUGUUCACAGUGGGUGUAGUGCCUGGCCUUCAGCAGGUGCUUGGUCAAUGUUUGUUGACUGCUGGAAUACGACACCUCAGAUGAAGAAACCAGCCUCCACAGGACUUCCUGGACCCAGUCCCCUGGUUGUUUAGAAAUCUCCGGGGGUGGUUUGGCUGCAGAAGGCUGUGAAAAGUAGGGCAUUGGGUGUCACGCUGUUGACAACGUCCAGACUUGUCCUCGCCCUGGGUUUCUUUCUGCCUUCCCCGGGAAGGCGACGAAGGGGCAGGGUCUCCAUUGCUGCAAAGGGAUAAAUGGAAGCCACCGGCCCAGUAGCCAAGGAUCAGCUGAGCCCUGGGGCUAAUGCUUGCUCACACUGUUGAGAAUGGCACUGCGGCCCAGCCAGGCACCGGGACAAAGGUUAACCCGGGACACUCGUGGCCAGUGAUCCUGAUGUCUGUUCAGAGCCGCGCACUCAAGGGUGUGAUAAGCUCAUGGAUGCAUUGGGCCCUGGGCUUCAUCUCUGUGCAGUGGGAACUGGAUCUUACCUAGGCUUCCAGACUCUGCCCAGAAGCCAGGAGUGGAUCAUGUGGCUUGGGUAGGGCAUCCGGGCCACUGGAUGGGGAGGGAUUUGUGGCGUCUUGACUGCCAUGAAUGUCGUCAAGAGAAGCAAGUCCUCCACUGCUUCCAAGUGUUUCAGCCACGUCUCUUCCUCAGUCCAGAGGAGCGGCUCUAGGGCGAGGGCCCUCUGGCUGCGGAGUCUCCUCUGUCCUCGCACAGCCUUUCUUUCCAGCCUCAGCCUCUGGCUUUUCUUUGAGGACACUUUAAAAAUUGACAAUUGGGUGCUUUACCCAGAGGCUGCCCAGCCUGAAGGCUCAUCUGCCUGAACAGGGCAGUC